This 371-nucleotide ribosomal RNA is filed under the name uncultured organism. Its description in RNAcentral is "partial 16S ribosomal RNA". It matches the Rfam family "Bacterial small subunit ribosomal RNA", at positions 527 to 897 of the family's 1533-position model. The record is from RNAcentral.
GGAGGGUCCAAGCGUUAUCCGGAUUUAUUGGGGUUUAAAGGGGUGCGUAGGCGGAAUUGUAAGUCAGAGGUGAAAGCCCACAGCUUAACUGUGGAACUGCCUUUGAUACUGCUAUUCUUGAGUUCAGAUGAGGUGGGCGGAAUGUGACAUGUAGCGGUGAAAUGCAUAGAUAUGUCACAGAACACCGAUUGCGAAGGCAGCUUACUAAACUGACACUGACGCUGAGGCACGAAAGCGUGGGGAGCGAACAGGAUUAGAUACCCUGGUAGUCCACGCCGUAAACGAUGAUUACUCGACGCGUGCAAUACAUAGUACGUGUCCAAGCGAAAGCGUUAAGUAAUCCACCUGGGGAGUACGAUCGCAAAGGUUGA